Molecule: transfer RNA, 75 nt
Filed under: Candidatus Saccharimonadota bacterium
Lineage: Bacteria; Candidatus Saccharimonadota
Description: tRNA-Gly
Rfam family: tRNA
About the family: Transfer RNA (tRNA) molecules are approximately 80 nucleotides in length. Their secondary structure includes four short double-helical elements and three loops (D, anti-codon, and T loops).
Source: RNAcentral
GCGGGUAUCGUAUAGCGGCUAUUAUGUAUCCUUCCCAAGGAUAAGAUCAGGGUCCGACUCCCUGUACCCGCACCA